GCAGUCGAGCGGUAACAGANAGUAGCUUGCUACUUUGCUGACGAGCGGCGGACGGGUGAGUAAUGCUUGGGAACAUGCCUUGAGGUGGGGGACAACAGUUGGAAACGACUGCUAAUACCGCAUAAUGUCUACGGACCAAAGGGGGCUUCGGCUCUCGCCUUUAGAUUGGCCCAAGUGGGAUUAGCUAGUUGGUGAGGUAAUGGCUCACCAAGGCGACGAUCCCUAGCUGGUUUGAGAGGAUGAUCAGCCACACUGGGACUGAGACACGGCCCAGACUCCUACGGGAGGCAGCAGUGGGGAAUAUUGCACAAUGGGCGCAAGCCUGAUGCAGCCAUGCCGCGUGUGUGAAGAAGGCCUUCGGGUUGUAAAGCACUUUCAGUCAGGAGGAAAGGUUAACGGUUAAUACCCGUUAGCUGUGACGUUACUGACAGAAGAAGCACCGGCUAACUCCGUGCCAGCAGCCGCGGUAAUACGGAGGGUGCGAGCGUUAAUCGGAAUUACUGGGCGUAAAGCGUACGCAGGCGGUUUGUUAAGCGAGAUGUGAAAGCCCCGGGCUCAACCUGGGAACUGCAUUUCGAACUGGCAAACUAGAGUGUGAUAGAGGGUGGUAGAAUUUCAGGUGUA
Molecule: ribosomal RNA, 624 nt
Filed under: Pseudoalteromonas sp.
Lineage: Bacteria; Pseudomonadati; Pseudomonadota; Gammaproteobacteria; Alteromonadales; Pseudoalteromonadaceae
Description: bacterial SSU rRNA
Rfam family: Bacterial small subunit ribosomal RNA
Source: RNAcentral